Molecule: ribosomal RNA, 771 nt
Filed under: uncultured bacterium
Lineage: Bacteria
Description: bacterial SSU rRNA
Rfam family: Bacterial small subunit ribosomal RNA
Source: RNAcentral
AGAGUUUGAUCCUGGCUCAGGACGAACGCUGGCGGCGGCUUAAGACAUGCAAGUCGAACGGGGUCCAUCCUUCGGGAGAAGACCUAGUGGCGAACGGGUGAGUAACACGUGAGCAACCUGCCCCAAAGACAGGGAUAAGCGAGGGAAACUUCGUCUAAUACCUGAUGCCUUCCUUUUACCUCAUGGUGUUUGGAAGAAAUGAUUUAUCGCUUUGGGAGGGGCUCGCGGCCUAUCAGCUUGUUGGUGGGGUAAUGGCCUACCAAGGCGUCGACGGGUAGCUGGUCUGAGAGGAUGAUCAGCCACACUGGGACUGAGAUACGGCCCAGACUCCUACGGGAGGCAGCAGUUAGGAAUCUUGCGCAAUGGGGGAAACCCUGACGCAGCAACGCCGCGUGUGGGAUGAAUGCUUUCGGGUUGUAAACCACUUUCAGCAGGAACGAAAUUGACGGUACCUGCAGAAGAAGCUCCGGCCAACUACGUGCCAGCAGCCGCGGUAAUACGUAGGGAGCAAGCGUUGUCCGGAUUUAUUGGGCGUAAAGAGCUCGUAGGCGGCUUAGCAAGUCAGGUGUGAAAACUCCAGGCUCAACCUGGAGACGCCAUCUGAUACUGCUAUGGCUUGAGUUCGGUAGGGGACCACGGAAUUCCUGGUGUAGCGGUGAAAUGCGCAGAUAUCAGGAGGAACACCGAUGGCGAAGGCAGUGGUCUGGGCCGAAACUGACGCUGAGGAGCGAAAGCGUGGGUAGCAAACAGGAUUAGAUACCCUAGUAGUCC